Molecule: non-coding RNA, 72 nt
Organism: Octopus bimaculoides (California two-spot octopus)
Lineage: Eukaryota; Metazoa; Mollusca; Cephalopoda; Octopoda; Octopodidae
Source: Rfam
AGCAGAGUGGCGCAGCGGAAGCGUGCUGAACCCAUAACCUAGAGGUCCGUAGAUCGAAAUUACGCUCUGCUA